CCUACGGGAGGCAGCAGUUGGGAAUCUUGCACAAUGGGGGAAACCCUGAUGCAGCGACGCCGCGUGGAGGAUGACGGCCUUAGGGUUGUAAACUCCUUUUUCAGGGAAAGACUUAGGACGGUACCCUGAGAAUAAGCUCCGGCUAACUACGUGCCAGCAGCCGCGGUAAGACGUAGGGAGCAAGCGUUAUCCGGAUUUACUGGGCGUAAAGCGCACGUAGGCGGCCUAUUAAGUGAAUGGUGAAAUCUCCAGCGCUCAACGCGGAAAUUGCCACUCAUACUGGUAGGCUAGAGGAAUGCAGAGGUAAUUGGAAUUCCCGGUGUAGCGGUGACAUGCAUAUAUAUCGGGAGGAACACCAACAGCGAAGGCAGAUUACUGGGCAUUUCCUGACGCUGAGGUGCGAAAGCGUGGGUAGCAAACAGAAUUAGAUACUCUGGUAGUCCACGCCCUAAACGAUGGAUACUAAUCACGAAUUCUGGAUCCGAUACGUAACGCGUCUGCGCAUGCGUGUACCGAGCUUUCCCUAUAUGA
This 531-nucleotide ribosomal RNA is filed under the name uncultured bacterium. RNAcentral's name for it is "bacterial SSU rRNA". It matches the Rfam family "Bacterial small subunit ribosomal RNA", at positions 338 to 1533 of the family's 1533-position model. The record is from RNAcentral.